UACAGAGGCCCCAAGCGUUACUGAGAAUCACUGGGUUUAAAGGGUGCGUAGGUGGUCCGUUAAGUUCGUUGUGAAAGCCCUGGGCUCAACCCAGGAACGGCUUCGAAUACUGGCGGACUUGAGGCUAGUAGGGGUCACUGGAACUGACGGUGGAGCGGUGAAAUGCGUAGAUAUCGUCAGGAACGCCAAUGGUGAAGACAGGUGACUGGGCUAGAUCUGACACUGAGGCACGAAAGCGUGGGGAG
This 245-nucleotide ribosomal RNA is filed under the name uncultured bacterium. RNAcentral describes it as "partial 16S ribosomal RNA". It matches the Rfam family "Bacterial small subunit ribosomal RNA", at positions 524 to 768 of the family's 1533-position model. The record is from RNAcentral.